UACGUAGGUGGCAAGCGUUGUCCGGAAUUAUUGGGCGUAAAGCGCGCGCAGGUGGUUCCUUAAGUCUGAUGUGAAAGCCCACGGCUCAACCGUGGAGGGUCAUUGGAAACUGGGGAACUUGAGUGCAGAAGAGGAAAGUGGAAUUCCAAGUGUAGCGGUGAAAUGCGUAGAGAUUUGGAGGAACACCAGUGGCGAAGGCGACUUUCUGGUCUGUAACUGACGCUGAGGCGCGAAAGCGUGGGGAGCAAACAGG
RNAcentral lists this ribosomal RNA (253 nucleotides) under uncultured bacterium. RNAcentral's name for it is "partial 16S ribosomal RNA". It matches the Rfam family "Bacterial small subunit ribosomal RNA", at positions 524 to 776 of the family's 1533-position model. The record is from RNAcentral.